RNAcentral lists this ribosomal RNA (594 nucleotides) under Arsenophonus endosymbiont of Trichobius major. Its description in RNAcentral is "bacterial SSU rRNA". It matches the Rfam family "Bacterial small subunit ribosomal RNA", at positions 604 to 1198 of the family's 1533-position model. Lineage: Bacteria; Pseudomonadati; Pseudomonadota; Gammaproteobacteria; Enterobacterales; Morganellaceae. The record is from RNAcentral.
UAAGCUUAACUUAGGAAUGGCAUUCAAAACUAUUUAACUAGAGUUUUGUAGAGGGGGGUAGAAUUCCAUGUGUAGCGGUGAAAUGCGUAGAGAUAUGGAGGAAUACCAGUGGCUAAAGCGACUCCCUGGACAAAAACUGACGCUCAUGUGCGAAAGCGUGGGGAGCAAACAGGAUUAGAUACCCUGGUAGUCCAUGCUGUAAACGAUGUCGAUUUGGAGGUUGUGGUUAUUACUGUGGCUUCCGUAGCUAACGUGUUAAAUCGACCGCCUGGGGAGUACGACCGCAAGGUUAAAACUCAAAUGAAUUGACGGGGGCCCGCACAAGCGGUGGAGCAUGUGGUUUAAUUCGAUGCAACGCGAAAAACCUUACCUACUCUUGACAUCCAGCGAAGCUUUUAGAGAUAAAAGUGUGCCUUUUGGAACGCUGAGACAGGUGCUGCAUGGCUGUCGUCAGCUCGUGUUGUGAAAUGUUGGGUUAAGUCCCGCAACGAGCGCAACCCUUAUCCUUUGUUGCCAGUGAGUAAAGUCGGGGACUCAAAGGAGACUGCCAGUGAUAAAUUGGAGGAAGGUGGGGAUGACGUCAAGUCAUUAUGG